Non-coding RNA from Cordylochernes scorpioides, 66 nucleotides. The record is from the annotation of a GenBank genome assembly. NCBI's taxonomy places the organism in Eukaryota, Metazoa, Arthropoda, Arachnida, Pseudoscorpiones, Chernetidae.
GUAGCUCAGUGGUAGAACGUUCGCUUCACAUGUGAAAGACCCCGGGUUCAAUCCCCGACAUCUCCA